UAUGGCUCAGAUUGAACGCUGGCGGCGUGCUUAACACAUGCAAGUCGCGCGUGAAAGGACUUCGGUCCGAGUAAAGCGGCGCACGGGUGAGUAACGCGUGGAUGAUCUACCCAUGAGUUAGGAAUAACGGCUGGAAACGGUCGCUAAUACCAAAUACGCUCCGAUUUCAACUUCGGGGGAAAGGUGGCCUCUGCUUGCAAGCUACUGCUCAUGGAUGAGUCCGCGUCCCAUUAGCUAGUUGGUGGGGUAACGGCCCACCAAGGCGACGAUGGGUAGCCGGUCUGAGAGGAUGACCGGCCACACUGGGACUGGAACACGGCCCAGACUCCUACGGGAGGCAGCAGUGGGGAAUAUUGCGCAAUGGGCGAAAGCCUGACGCAGCGACGCCGCAUGAGGGAUGAAGGUCCUCGGAUCGUAAACCUCUGUCAGGAGGGAAGAACCGCCACGGUGCUAAUCAGCCGUGGUCUGACGGUACCUCCAAAGGAAGCACCGGCUAACUCCGUGCCAGCCGCAGC
RNAcentral lists this ribosomal RNA (515 nucleotides) under uncultured bacterium. RNAcentral's name for it is "bacterial SSU rRNA". It matches the Rfam family "Bacterial small subunit ribosomal RNA", at positions 18 to 518 of the family's 1533-position model. The record is from RNAcentral.